CAUGCAAGUCGAGCGGAUCUUCAUUAGCUUGCUUUUGAAGAUCAGCGGCGGACGGGUGAGUAACACGUGGGCAACCUGCCUGUAAGACUGGGAUAACUUCGGGAAACCGGAGCUAAUACCGGAUAAUCCUUUCCCUCACAUGAGGGAAAGMUGAAAGACGGUUUCGGCUGUCACUUACAGAUGGGCCCGCGGCGCAUUAGCUAGUUGGUGAGGUAACGGCUCACCAAGGCAACGAUGCGUAGCCGACCUGAGAGGGUGAUCGGCCACACUGGGACUGAGACACGGCCCAGACUCCUACGGGAGGCAGCAGUAGGGAAUCUUCCGCAAUGGACGAAAGUCUGACGGAGCAACGCCGCGUGAACGAUGAAGGCUUUCGGGUCGUAAAGUUCUGUUGUCAGGGAAGAACAAGUACCGGAGUAACUGCCGGUACCUUGACGGUACCUGACCAGAAAGCCACGGCUAACUACGUGCCAGCAGCCGCGGUAAUACGUAGGUGGCAAGCGUUGUCCGGAAUUAUUGGGCGUAAAGCGCGCGCAGGCGGUUCCUUAAGUCUGAUGUGAAAGCCCCCGGCUCAACCGGGGAGGGUCAUUGGAAACUGGGGAACUUGAGUGCAGAAGAGGAGAGCGGAAUUCCACGUGUAGCGGUGAAAUGCGUAGAGAUGUGGAGGAACACCAGUGGCGAAGGCGGCUCUCUGGUCUGUAACUGACGCUGAGGCGCGAAAGCGUGGGGAGCGAACAGGAUUAGAUACCCUGGUAGUCCACGCCGUAAACGAUGAGUGCUAAGUGUUAGAGGGUUUCCGCCCUUUAGUGCUGCAGCAAACGCAUUAAGCACUCCGCCUGGGGAGUACGGCCGCAAGGCUGAAACUCAAAGGAAUUGACGGGGGCCCGCACAAGCGGUGGAGCAUGUGGUUUAAUUCGAAGCAACGCGAAGAACCUUACCAGGUCUUGACAUCCUCUGACAACCCUAGAGAUAGGGCGUUCCCCUUCGGGGGACAGAGUGACAGGUGGUGCAUGGUGUC
RNAcentral lists this ribosomal RNA (1018 nucleotides) under Mesobacillus thioparans. Its description in RNAcentral is "bacterial SSU rRNA". It matches the Rfam family "Bacterial small subunit ribosomal RNA", at positions 54 to 1053 of the family's 1533-position model. Lineage: Bacteria; Bacillati; Bacillota; Bacilli; Caryophanales; Bacillaceae. The record is from RNAcentral.